RNAcentral lists this ribosomal RNA (253 nucleotides) under uncultured bacterium. Its description in RNAcentral is "partial 16S ribosomal RNA". It matches the Rfam family "Bacterial small subunit ribosomal RNA", at positions 524 to 776 of the family's 1533-position model. The record is from RNAcentral.
UACGUAUGGUGCAAGCGUUAUCCGGGUUUACUGGGUGUAAAGGGAGCGCAGGCGGCGCGGCAAGUCCGAUGUGAAAACCCCCGGCUCAACCGGGGGACUGCAUUGGAAACUACCGGGCUGGAGUGCCGGAGAGGUAGGCGGAAUUCCUGGUGUAGCGGUGAAAUGCGUAGAUAUCAGGAGGAACACCAGUGGCGAAGGCGGCCUACUGGACGGUGACUGACGCUGAGGCUCGAAAGCGUGGGGAGCAAACAGG